GCGUGCCGAGGUCGGACUGGGUAGCAAGUCCCCCUGACCGGGGCCUGUCCAGAGCGGGUGCGAGGCCCAUAGCCGCCCGGUCCGUCUCGGAUGCGAUCUCCUUGGAGUCGGGUUGCUUGGGAGUGCAGCCCCAAUCGGGUGGUAAACUCCACCUAAGGCUAAAUACCGCCGUGAGACCGAUAGCAAACAAGUACCGUGAGGGAAAGUUGCAAAGAACUUUGAAGAGAGAGUUCAAGAGUACGUGAAACUGCUCAGAGGGAAACGGGUGGGCCCUCGAAAUCCUGUGGCGAGAGGAUUCAGUCUGGCGCGGUGGACGCGGUGGUCGGAAAGAGGAAGGGUUUCCCGAGACGGGGGCCGUCCGAUUCCGCCAGGUCCGCCGCAUCCGACGCAUUUGUCUCUCGUCCGAAGGACGCCGCAGCCGGUCGGGCAGCGCAAGCGUGACGGCCUGAGGGUCGGGAGAUGGCAGGUGGCCGGUGGGGAGCCUCGUGCUCCUCGCCGGUUGUUAGCCGUCCCGUCAGUGGCACGUCGCUCGACCGAGGUGUCGCGAGUCC
RNAcentral lists this ribosomal RNA (551 nucleotides) under Rhysodromus alascensis. RNAcentral's name for it is "partial 28S ribosomal RNA". It matches the Rfam family "Eukaryotic large subunit ribosomal RNA", at positions 162 to 544 of the family's 3401-position model. The record is from RNAcentral. Lineage: Eukaryota; Metazoa; Arthropoda; Arachnida; Araneae; Philodromidae.